UACGGAGGAUGCAAGCGUUAUCCGGAAUUAUUGGGCGUAAAGGGUCCGCAGGUGGUACAUCAAGUCUGCUGUCAAAGACCGAAGCUUAACUUCGGGUAGGCGGUGGAAACUGGUGAACUAGAGUACGGUAGGGGUAGAGGGAAUUUCCAGUGUAGCGGUGAAAUGCGUAGAGAUUGGAAAGAACACCAGUGGCGAAGGCGCUCUACUGGACCUGUACUGACACUGAGGGACGAAAGCUAGGGGAGCGAAAGGG
Molecule: ribosomal RNA, 253 nt
Filed under: uncultured bacterium
Lineage: Bacteria
Description: partial 16S ribosomal RNA
Rfam family: Bacterial small subunit ribosomal RNA
Source: RNAcentral